UGCACCGGUGAUGACCACUCAUAGACCUGUAAUGAUGGCGAAGAUGAUCGCAGUAAAUGAACAUCUAAGGGACUGAGGUGCA
Small nucleolar RNA from Nymphaea colorata (pocket water lily), 82 nucleotides. RefSeq annotates it as small nucleolar RNA SNORD25. The record is from RefSeq and is a predicted model, not a curated record. The transcript has a single exon. Lineage: Eukaryota; Viridiplantae; Streptophyta; Magnoliopsida; Nymphaeales; Nymphaeaceae.